Molecule: RNA transcript, 4516 nt
Organism: Xenopus laevis (African clawed frog)
Lineage: Eukaryota; Metazoa; Chordata; Amphibia; Anura; Pipidae
Gene: gldc.S
Gene name: glycine decarboxylase S homeolog
Exons: 26
Source: RefSeq, marked provisional
CCUGACACUUACCCAUCAGCACAUAUCGGAGGCCUGUGAGAAUGUUGCAAGCUUUGCAUUUUUUCCACCGGGCUUUAUCUGUGCAGGAUGCUGGCAGUUUAUUUUUCUCUCAUCAGAAGGGGGGCUUGGCCCUACGUCAUCUGGUUCGGGCAUGCUGAUUGGCUGGCUCGGAUAUAAUGAGGGAGGCGUGGGGAAUUCUCUCAGCGCUUCAGUAGUGCGAGAUCCGCAGGUGCGGGAAGAGGCAAGUUUGCAAGAAAGUGUGAGGCGCAAGUGUGGGAGCUGCUCUUCUCUUUCUACAAGAAUCGUAGGCAGCGCACAUCAGCACGGAGAGACAUGCAGAGCUGUGCCAAGUCAUGGGGAGUCCUGAGCAGGGCGCUGAGGCUGAUGCCGGGCAGGACGAUGGGCUGCAAGAGAAGCGCUUGGCUCCGCGUGGAGUUGAUGGGAAGGAGCAGCAGUAGCCAGACUGCGCCAGGGGCAGCGCUCACUUCCAGCUCCCCCCGACACUUCGAGCUGCUCCUGCCCCGACACGAUGACUUCUCCGAGAGGCACAUCGGCCCCGGGGACAAAGAGAAGCGACAGAUGCUGGACACCCUCGGUCUCCAGGACAUUGAGGAGUUGAUUGACAAGACUGUUCCUGGUAGCAUUCGCCUGGCAAGACCUCUAAAGAUGGAUGAUCAAGUCUGUGAGAAUGAAAUUCUUGAAUCACUCCAAAAUAUAGCCAACAAGAACAAGAUCUGGAGGUCCUACAUAGGCAUGGGCUACUACAACUGUUCAGUUCCACAGGCCAUAUUACGAAACUUAUUGGAAAAUGCAGGCUGGGUCACACAGUAUACCCCAUAUCAGCCUGAGGUGUCACAAGGGCGACUAGAGAGCUUGCUGAAUUACCAGACUAUGGUGUGUGACCUAACUGGAAUGGACGUGGCAAAUGCAUCGCUUCUAGAUGAAGGAACAGCUGCAGCUGAGGCCAUGCAGUUAUGCCACAGACACAACAAAAGAAGGAAAUUCUACGUGGACAGUAGAUGCCAUCCUCAGACAAUAGCUGUGGUACAGACAAGAGCAAAUUACAUUGGUGUCGAAACUGAGCUGCUGUUGCCUCAUGAAAUGGACUUCAGUGGAAAGGAUGUCAGUGGGGUAUUGUUUCAGUACCCAGAUACUAAUGGGAAAGUGGAAGAUUUCACCCAUCUUGUUGACAGAGCACAUCAAAAUGGAACACUGGCCUGCUGUGCCACAGAUCUCCUAGCACUUUGUAUUAUGAGGCCUCCUGGUGAAUUUGGAGUAGACAUUGCCCUGGGAAGUUCACAAAGAUUUGGUGUGCCACUUUGUUAUGGUGGUCCUCAUGCAGCAUUUUUUGCAGUAAAGGAAAACUUGGUGAGAAUGAUGCCAGGAAGAAUGGUUGGAGUGACCAGAGAUGCUGCAGGAAAAGAAGUUUAUCGCCUUGCGCUACAGACCAGAGAGCAGCACAUUCGCAGGGAUAAAGCCACAAGCAACAUAUGCACUGCACAGGCCCUUCUUGCAAACAUGGCUGCUAUGUUCUGUGUUUAUCAUGGACCUAAUGGCCUAAAGCACAUAGCACGGAGAGUACACAAUGCCACCGUCAUUCUAGCAGAAGGUCUGAAGAGAGCUGGGCAUCAAUUGCAAAAUGAAAUGUUUUUUGACACCUUGAAAAUACAUUGCGGUUGUCCAACAAAAGAAGUUCUCGACCGGGCAACCCAACGACAGAUUAAUCUACGGGUCUUCAGUGAUGGUUCACUUGGGGUGUCACUUGAUGAAACGGUGAAAGAGAAAGACCUGGAUGAUCUUUUAUGGGUUUUUGGCUGUGAAUCAUCAGCGGAACUGGUAGCUGAGAGCAUGGGCGAAGAGAUUAAAGGCAUUCUGGGCACAGCCUUCAAAAGAACAAGCAAAUUUCUCACUCAUACACUGUUUAACAGCUAUCAUUCUGAAACCAACAUUGUCCGCUACAUGAAACGGCUAGAAAACAAAGAUAUUUCACUUGUGCACAGUAUGAUUCCUUUGGGAUCCUGCACAAUGAAACUCAAUAGUUCUUCUGAACUUACACCAAUUACUUGGUCAGCUUUUGCCAAUAUACAUCCAUUUGUGCCUCUAGAUCAGGCUCAGGGCUAUCAGCAGUUAUUCCAAGAGCUGGAGAAGGAUCUGUGUGAAAUAACGGGAUAUGAUAACAUAUCCUUCCAGCCAAACAGUGGAGCUCAGGGUGAAUAUGCUGGCCUGGCUGCAAUCAAGGCUUACUUGAAUGGGAAAGGAGAACACCACAGGACAGUUUGUUUAAUUCCUAAAUCUGCGCACGGAACCAACCCUGCAAGUGCUCAGAUGGCAGGAAUGAAAAUUCAGCCAGUGGAAGUGGAUAAAAAUGGAAGCAUUGACCUUGUUCAUUUAAAAGCUAUGGUGGAUAAACACAGAGACAACUUGGCAGCAAUAAUGAUUACAUACCCCUCAACUAAUGGGGUUUUUGAGGAAGAUAUAAGUAACGUGUGUGACCUUAUUCAUAAAAAUGGUGGUCAGGUUUAUUUGGAUGGUGCCAAUAUGAACGCUCAGGUUGGUUUAUGUCGUCCUGGGGACUAUGGUUCUGAUGUCUCUCACUUGAACCUACAUAAGACAUUCUGCAUCCCCCAUGGUGGAGGUGGUCCUGGCAUGGGGCCGAUAGGAGUAAAGAAGCAUCUUGCCCCUUAUUUGCCCAGCCACCCAGUCAUUGCUCUUCCAAAUGACAAUACUUCCAGUUUGGGGACUAUUAGUGCUGCACCAUGGGGGUCCAGUGCAAUUCUGCCUAUUUCCUGGGCUUACAUAAAGAUGAUGGGUGCAAAAGGACUGAAACAUGCUACAGAAGUGGCCAUACUGAAUGCCAACUAUAUGGCAAAGAGACUAGAAAAACACUACAAAAUCCUAUUCAAGGGAUCUAGAGGAUUUGUUGCUCAUGAAUUCAUUCUUGAUGUAAGACCCUUCAAGAAGUCUGCAAACAUUGAGGCAGUAGAUGUUGCAAAGAGACUGCAAGACUAUGGAUUUCAUGCACCUACCAUGUCCUGGCCAGUGGCAGGAACUCUAAUGAUUGAGCCAACUGAGUCUGAAGAUAAAGCCGAGAUGGAUCGCUUCUGUGAUGCGAUGAUUAGCAUCAGGCAGGAGAUUGCUGAUAUUGAGGAAGGCAGAAUGGACUCAAGGAUUAAUCCACUAAAAAUGGCUCCACAUACAUUGACUUGCAUUGCAUCUUCCAUUUGGGAUCGUCCUUAUUCAAGAGAAGUGGCUGCGUUUCCCUUGAGAUUAAAAAGGCGCUUAUUACAGAGGAAUUCAGAGAUGGAAUUCCAGAGCUAAGCAGCAGCAACAUAGAAAUGUACAAGACGAGAGGUGGCAGUGGAUGGUUUGAAAAGACGUUGGCUCUGAGAGGAGUGGAGGAGACAGCCAGGAACUUAAUGAGAUAAGUGAAGAAAUGUAGCGAGGCACAGAGUGGCUACUUUGAAUGUUAACAGAAGGAUUUUAUAUGCUAUCCUUUGCUUAACAUGUAGUUAUGAUAAAGGUUUUACCUGGGGUAAAUCCCUCUUAGACAGAAAGAUGGGAUUCAGGGAGACCAGUUAGUAGGAGAUUUCAAUAGUCUAUAUGGGAUAGGUUAAGGAUUAGUGUUUUGGCUAUUUGUGAAAGAAAUUUAUCUUCGCAAUAUUGCAAAGGAAAAAUCGGAAGGUUUUGGAGUAGUAGUAAUAUGAUUAGAAAAGAAGAGGGGCUGGUCAAAGGUGACCCCCAGGAAGCGUGUGGAAUUAUUAGUCAUGCCAUCAAUAGUAAUGGUGAAAGAGAAGGGCUAACCACAAACUCUGUUUUAGCUAAGUUGAGCUUGAGGUGGCAUUGGUUCAUCCGGGAGGAGAUGGCUAGGAGGCAGUUCAUGAUCUGAAUGUCCGUGGUUAGUGAAGAGAUUCCAUUAGCCUAUAGGUGGUAUUUAAGGCAAAAUUAAGAUAUAAGGUCUCUUAAUGAGAGAGUAUACAAGGAGAACAGCAGAGUACAGUACCCUGAGGCACCCCCACACUAAGCUGAAACAGGGAAAAUGAUUUGUUAGCAAAAGUAAAAGUGAAGGAGCAAUUAGAAAGGUAGGAAGAGAACAAGGAUUCCCUUCAUCUUGAUCCUAGAUACCAAGUAAAAGGAGAAUUCGCAUUAGAAAACAUUGGUCAGCAGUAUCAAAAGCAGAAGAUAAGUGCAGGAGAAUUUGAAUCAAGUAAUGUCCUUUGGUAUUUGCAGUCUGGAGAUUGUAUGUAACGCUACAUAAGGCUAUGGAGUGCACAUGUCGAAAGCUAGACUGCUUUGGGUCAAGCAGAUUAUGGGUGCAGAGGAAGCUUAGAGAGAGACAGCCAUUUGUCAGACCAGAGAGCAAAUUCUGGCCCUCCAUUGCACGAAUUGAUGACAUUUAUGGUGAUCAGCACUUGGUUUGUACCUGUCCACCAAUGGAGGUCUACGAAUCUCCUUUUACAGAACAGAAGAGAGCCUCCUCAUAAACUAGAUUGCUUUUCUGCUCCCCCCCCCCAAAGUC